Molecule: long non-coding RNA, 600 nt
Filed under: Chloebia gouldiae (Gouldian finch)
Lineage: Eukaryota; Metazoa; Chordata; Aves; Passeriformes; Passeridae
Description: Erythrura gouldiae (Gouldian finch) lncRNA (ENSEGOG00005005822.1)
Source: RNAcentral
GCAUGUUUUGUAGCAGGUGGCUGAGAUGACUGGAACUGUGACAGAGCAUACAAAUUAUUACAUGGACAUUUAGACACAAGAAUAAGGCUUUCAUAAUGCACAAGAACUUUCUCUCAUAAGAAAACCACUGGAGCUCCUGAAUUUUGCUGUGCAAAUGGAUAAAUACUGACGGAAUACAUGUGGCUUGCAUCAGAUGUCCCAGCUCCUUCUCCAGCUCCAGGCAGUUUUGUAGGAAAAAGGGCAGGUUGUCUGGACUCCCUGUGGGCUUUGUGAUCAGUGGAUCAGCGUUAGCUGCUUGGUGUCCAUACAGCUCUCAGGAUGGAGAAGUCAAGGAUGAAGGAAGGACUGUCUCCUUGAUGACCUUGAUUAGAGUUGAUGGACAGCCUGGGGCUUCCAUAAGACAAAUUAUUUGAUGGCUAGCUUUUUCAGCUAAUGGAUGACACGGAAUAUUGCCUGAAUCCAUGAUAUAUAUCUAUGAACACCAAAUUCCUAGAUUUCAAGACCAUCCCAAUUGCUGGAAGUCAUCUUAAGAGGUAAAUAGAGUUAAGAUUUUAGGAAGAAAGCCCAAGUUUCCACUCUACCAAUAUUAAUUUAAUGUGU